RNAcentral lists this ribosomal RNA (252 nucleotides) under uncultured bacterium. Its description in RNAcentral is "partial 16S ribosomal RNA". It matches the Rfam family "Bacterial small subunit ribosomal RNA", at positions 524 to 776 of the family's 1533-position model. The record is from RNAcentral.
UACGGGAGGGGCAAGCGUUAUCUGGAAUAACUGGGCGUAAAGAGUCCGUAGACUGUAAAGUAAGUUACUUGUUAAAUUUUAAAGCCUAACUUUAAACUAGCUUGUAAUACUGCUUUACUUGAGUUUUAUACAGAAAAGUAGAAUUUUAUACGAUAGGGUAAAAUCUUAAAAUAUAUAAAGGAAUUUCAGUGGCGAAGGCGACUUUUUGGUAAAAACUGACGUUGAGGGACGAAAGUAUGGGUAGCAAUCAGG